This 253-nucleotide ribosomal RNA is filed under the name uncultured bacterium. RNAcentral's name for it is "partial 16S ribosomal RNA". It matches the Rfam family "Bacterial small subunit ribosomal RNA", at positions 524 to 776 of the family's 1533-position model. The record is from RNAcentral.
GACAGAGGAGCCAAGCGUUGUCCGGACUGACUGGGCGUAAAGCGCACGCAGGCGGCGCUGCGCGUGGGGUGUGAAAGCUCUUGGCUUAACUGAGAGAGGCCAUCCCAUACGGCAGUGCUCGAGCGGUGCAGAGGUCCGCGGAAUUGCCGGUGUAGUGGUGAAAUGCGUAGAGAUGGGGGAGAACACUCGUGGCGAAGGCGGCCAGCUAGACCAGUUCUGACACUGAGGCGCGACAGCGUGGGGAGCAAACAGG